This 659-nucleotide ribosomal RNA is filed under the name Planomicrobium okeanokoites. RNAcentral describes it as "bacterial SSU rRNA". It matches the Rfam family "Bacterial small subunit ribosomal RNA", at positions 83 to 729 of the family's 1533-position model. Lineage: Bacteria; Bacillati; Bacillota; Bacilli; Caryophanales; Caryophanaceae. The record is from RNAcentral.
UCCAUUGGUUUAGCGGCGGACGGGUGAGUAACACGUGGGCAACCUGCCCUGCAGAUCGGGAUAACUCCGGGAAACCGGUGCUAAUACCGAAUAGUUUUUUGCCCCUCCUGGGGCGAAACGGAAAGACGGUUUCGGCUGUCACUGCAGGAUGGGCCCGCGGCGCAUUAGCUAGUUGGUGGGGUAAUGGCCCACCAAGGCGACGAUGCGUAGCCGACCUGAGAGGGUGAUCGGCCACACUGGGACUGAGACACGGCCCAGACUCCUACGGGAGGCAGCAGUAGGGAAUCUUCCGCAAUGGACGCAAGUCUGACGGAGCAACGCCGCGUGAGUGACGAAGGUUUUCGGAUCGUAAAACUCUGUUGUGAGGGAAGAACAAGUACCAACUAACUACUGGUACCUUGACGGUACCUCACCAGAAAGCCACGGCUAACUACGUGCCAGCAGCCGCGGUAAUACGUAGGUGGCAAGCGUUGUCCGGAAUUAUUGGGCGUAAAGCGCGCGCAGGCGGUCCCUUAAGUCUGAUGUGAAAGCCCACGGCUCAACCGUGGAGGGUCAUUGGAAACUGGGGGACUUGAGUGCAGAAGAGGAAAGUGGAAUUCCACGUGUAGCGGUGAAAUGCGUAGAGAUGUGGAGGAACACCAGUGGCGAAGGCGACUUUC